CCUACGGGAGGCAGCAGUGAGGAAUAUUGGUCAAUGGGCGCUAGCCUGAACCAGCCAAGUAGCGUGAAGGAUGACUGCCCUAUGGGUUGUAAACUUCUUUUAUAUGGGAAUAAAGUGCAGUAUGUAUACUGCUUUGCAUGUACCUUAUGAAUAAGGAUCGGCUAACUCCGUGCCAGCAGCCGCGGUAAUACGUAGGGGGCAAGCGUUGUUCGGAAUGACUGGGCGUAAAGGGUGUGGAGGUGGUUUGAUAAGUUAGAUGUGUAAUACCCAGGGCUUAACUCGGGUGCUGCAUCUAAAACUGUUAGACUUGAGUACUGGAGAGGAUAGUGGAAUUCCUGGUGUAGCGGUGGAAUGCGUAGAUAUUAGGAGGAACAUCAGUGGCGAAGGCGACUAUCUGGACAGCAACUGACACUGAGGCACGAAAGCGUGGGGAGCAAACAGGAUUAGAUACCCCAGUAGUC
This 461-nucleotide ribosomal RNA is filed under the name uncultured bacterium. RNAcentral's name for it is "partial 16S ribosomal RNA". It matches the Rfam family "Bacterial small subunit ribosomal RNA", at positions 338 to 795 of the family's 1533-position model. The record is from RNAcentral.